This 253-nucleotide ribosomal RNA is filed under the name uncultured bacterium. RNAcentral's name for it is "partial 16S ribosomal RNA". It matches the Rfam family "Bacterial small subunit ribosomal RNA", at positions 524 to 776 of the family's 1533-position model. The record is from RNAcentral.
UACGUAGGGUGCGAGCGUUAAUCGGAAUUACUGGGCGUAAAGCGUGCGCAGGCGGUUUUGUAAGCCAGAUGUGAAAUCCCCGGGCUUAACCUGGGAAUGGCAUUUGGGACUGCAAGGCUCGAGUGCGGCAGAGGAGACUGGAAUUCCUGGUGUAGCAGUGAAAUGCGUAGAUAUCAGGAAGAACACCCGUGGCGAAGGCGGCUCUCUGGUACGGUACUGACGCUGAGACGCGAAAGCGUGGGGAGCGAACAGG